UACGUAGGGGGCUAGCGUUAUCCGGAAUUACUGGGCGUAAAGGGUGCGUAGGUGGUUUCUUAAGUCAGAGGUGAAAGGCUACGGCUCAACCGUAGUAAGCCUUUGAAACUGGGGAACUUGAGUGCAGGAGAGGAGAGUGGAAUUCCUAGUGUAGCGGUGAAAUGCGUAGAUAUUAGGAGGAACACCAGUUGCGAAGGCGGCUCUCUGGACUGUAACUGACACUGAGGCACGAAAGCGUGGGGAGCAAA
RNAcentral lists this ribosomal RNA (248 nucleotides) under uncultured Peptostreptococcaceae bacterium. Its description in RNAcentral is "partial 16S ribosomal RNA". It matches the Rfam family "Bacterial small subunit ribosomal RNA", at positions 524 to 772 of the family's 1533-position model. The record is from RNAcentral. Lineage: Bacteria; Bacillati; Bacillota; Clostridia; Peptostreptococcales; Peptostreptococcaceae.